CGCCGCCGCCGCGCACCCUCCGCCCGCCCUCGCCGCGCUCCCUCCCGGCCCCGCCGACCAGCCCGCCUUGCCCAUCACGCACUCGGCAGAGGGGGCAACCGCCGCGGUCGCCAUCGCCGGGGGCCAGGCCCCAGAGACAACCCGGCCACCGUCUCCACGCUGCUGCCUCCUGCCCGGAGACUUCGGGUUGGAGGUCACCCCCUCCUCCCCACAUCCCAGCUUGCCGGAGACUAAGACCAACCUGCCUCCUAAAAUAAGCGAAUAGGGACCUCAUUAAAAAGAGAUGGAGAGAGUAACCCAGAAACAGCAGGAGGCUAGAAGUCAUGAAAGCACUGAAUUGCAUGUGGCCAGCCCUAAGGGCUACUGCAACAUCCACAUACCCUCCAGAGAGAAACCACCAGACCAGAGUAUUGACCAGCACAGAGAAGAAUGAAACAGAGGAAAGAGAGAGUGGAGAGUGGGAAAUAAAUGACAGUUAACAACAAUAUGGUCAUAUUGGAAUACCAAGAAGUUUUCCAUUACAAGACCACCAUCAGAUGACCUUUGAGCAGUAUGAUGUUUGUUAAUUUCAACAAUCCCAAUUCUUUUCACUUCUAAGCAUCUUUUCUGUCCAUUACCACAGUUUAGCUUUUACCAUUAAUAGAUUAGUCUAAUCCAUUAUUUCCUGAUUUCCCUACUUUUAGAUUGUUAACCUGCUUUCCUUUCUGGUGAAUUUUUCUAAAAUGCCCUUUUCAUCAUAUUAUUCCCAUGGACAUGAAUUAAUAAGGGAUUUGGUUCUCUAAGAAUGAAAUCCAAAUCUUAUAACUUGAAACUAGGAUGUAGUAUAAAAUACAAUGGAUCUGAAGUCAGAAGACCUAUGUUCAAAAAUUGUCAUAUUGAUUUUCUGGCUGUCUGUGUACCCAAGAGUGAGAGGACAAAUCAUUUAACUUCUCAGGGUCUCUCAAUUUCCUCAUGUGUAAAAUGGGCAUGAUAAUGGUUGUGAUUUCUAUCUCUUUAUCUAAAUAUGAACUAUUCUUAUAAUAAUAAUCUAAUAUGCAAACCCUCUAUAAUAAAGUCUUCCUUCUUAAAUUUAUCUUA
This is a long non-coding RNA of Antechinus flavipes (yellow-footed antechinus), 1077 nucleotides long. RefSeq lists it as uncharacterized. The record is from RefSeq and is a predicted model, not a curated record. The transcript is spliced from 2 exons. Lineage: Eukaryota; Metazoa; Chordata; Mammalia; Dasyuromorphia; Dasyuridae.